Molecule: ribosomal RNA, 253 nt
Filed under: uncultured bacterium
Lineage: Bacteria
Description: partial 16S ribosomal RNA
Rfam family: Bacterial small subunit ribosomal RNA
Source: RNAcentral
UACGUAGGGAGCAAGCGUUGUCCGGAAUCAUUGGGCGUAAAGCGCGCGUAGGUGGCCUCAUAAGUCCGUUGUGAAAGUCAAAGGCUCAACCUUUGAAAGCCGAUGGAUACUGUGAGACUAGAGUACGGAAGAGGCGAGUGGAAUUCCUGGUGUAGCGGUGGAAUGCGCAGAUAUCAGGAGGAACACCAAUAGCGAAGGCAGCUCGCUGGGACGUUACUGACACUGAGGAGCGAAAGCGUGGGUAGCAAACAGG